Molecule: long non-coding RNA, 260 nt
Filed under: Elaeis guineensis (African oil palm)
Lineage: Eukaryota; Viridiplantae; Streptophyta; Magnoliopsida; Arecales; Arecaceae
Description: long non-coding RNA (EGUI_LNC046390)
Source: RNAcentral
AUGGCUAGUUUUUCUGAUAGCUUCAAAUAGAUAGAUUUUCACCACUGUGGUGAGUUUGACCUCUCCAAUAGCAAGUAUACUUCAGCCAAAAUUAAAAUUAUUUAAGGCUAGAGAUUCAAUUGAAAGGUAAGCCAAGUAAAUAGAAAAGAGAAAAUCUUCAAUUUUUGGUGUGAGCUUUGUGUAUCCUCGAGCAAGUCUAAAAAGAGAGAAAUUAAGUGCCUUAAUUGAGUGAGCAAUCUUGAGUAUAUCCUCAACAAACC